GGGGACAAACAGACAGAAACUAAGGCAAACUGACAGGACAAAAUCAAUAUUUCCCACUUUCAGCAGGAAUUAAAAUCAAAGUGCCUAUAUAUAAAAGCAAUAAUAGGGAUAAUGGGAAUAAAUGUACAGCACUUUCAUUUGUUUUGCAAAGGUGAACCAUUAAUUUAACAAAUUGUGAAUAGCAGAGGACGCUGAGUGAAUUCUUAUAUGAAAAGGGGAAAAAAGUC
This 227-nucleotide long non-coding RNA is filed under the name Mytilus galloprovincialis (Mediterranean mussel). Lineage: Eukaryota; Metazoa; Mollusca; Bivalvia; Mytilida; Mytilidae. The record is from RNAcentral.